UUCGGCAGACAAAGGGUUAAACUGCUGAGGCAGUUGAGCGCACCAUCCAACCGGGCUGUGUCGCUAGGGGAAGAUAUAGGGUACUUGUGGAGAAGCAACAGAUCUCAGCUGGAAAACAACCCCACAUCUGGCACGCGGGACGACCAAAUCUGAGGAGGAAAAAUCUGUCAAAUUUUUCACUGCAUGAUUAGAUGGACUGGACCAGUGGAUCAAUCUCUGACUUCCAAAUCACGAGCAGGGGCGAGAAAAGUUGCCAAUAUUAGUUGUGGAUUUGAUUUUGGCGCUGCAGAAUUUGGAUAUUUUUUUGUUUUUUUUUUAGAAAGGGGGAGAUGAUCGUCACAUGUUUUCUGACUUAGCGUUUUCUCCUAUAGGAAAUACCAUGCGUAAAAGCCAAUAUUCUUUUUUUUCCUGGCAAUAAUAUGUCUUCGUGGACGGGAAAUAAGUCCAACAUCUUUGCGCCCGUGGACAGGAAUUAAGUAUAACAUCUGGAGGCAACAACUCAAAACACCUUGUCCAACCUAUUCGACUAAAACGUUUACAAACACCGAUCGAGUUCCACCAACCGCGUUUUGCUUUUUUCAGCCUCCAGACUGAGUUUGGUUACAGGUGGUUUUCAUCGCGCUUUACCAUUACUAUGCACCUUAACAAUCAGCAAUAAACGAGCCACAUGGGUGUGAAAUGAAGGCUCACUUUGCUUUAAUUUUCUGAUUUUUUUUUCCCCAGCGGACAACAGUUUGAACCAGGGGCGAACAGCCAGUAGGUCUGCUCCCACUGCUUCUAAAUGAUAAGCUCGGUUUGUGUUUCGUCUUACCGAGGACGCAAGUCAGGCAACAAACCUCCGUCUAAAUCAUGUCUGAAGGAAGACAUGGCCAGAGGGGAAGACUCGGAUAAAAUUAUUAUUAACGUAGGCGGCACUCGACACGAGACCUACAAGAGCACCCUCAGGACCCUGCCGGGGACGCGCCUGGCAUGGCUAGCAGACUCGGAGUCGCAGGUCAGCUCCGACUCAGACAUUGCGUCCCCGAGUGCCACCGAGUUCUUCUUCGACAGACACCCCGGCAUCUUUGCGUACGUGCUCAACUAUUACCGGACAGGCAAGCUGCACUGCCCGGCUGACGUCUGCGGGCCUCUAUUCGAGGAAGAGUUGGCGUUUUGGGGUAUAGACGAGACUGACGUGGAGCCAUGCUGCUGGAUGACCUACCGGCAGCACCGGGACGCGGAGGAGGCCCUGGAGAUAUUUGAACCGCCCGACCCAGAAGACACCGACGACGAGAGAGAGAUGCCGAGGAGGUUCGGCAUCGAAGACGUCCCCGACAGGUCGAGAGGCUGCCGCGAAGUUUGGCAGCCAAAGAUCUGGGCGCUGUUUGACGACCCGUAUUCAUCUAGAGCAGCCAGGGGAGUUGCACUUGCCUCUCUCUUCUUCAUCCUGGUGUCGAUCACCACAUUCUGCCUGGAGACCCACGAUGCCUUCUAUGAAGUGCAAAACUGGACGGAGCAUGUUGUACAGGGCAACGUGACAAAGAACAUCACAAGGAACGAAAUAGUGACCAACCCAGUCCUCUUCACCGUGGAGGGCAUCUGUGUAGUCUGGUUCACGUUUGAAUUUCUGGUGCGCAUAAUAUCCUGCCCAGACAAAGUAGUCUUCAUCAGAAACACGCUCAACAUCAUUGACUUUGUGGCCAUUCUACCAUUCUACCUGGAGUUGGCUCUGAAAAGUCUGUCAUCCAAAGCUGCCAAUGAUGUGCUAAACUUCCUCCGUGUGGUCCGGUUUGUUCGAAUCCUCCGGAUUUUCAAGCUGACGCGCCACUUUGUAGGCCUGCGUGUCCUGGGUCACACGUUGAGGGCUAGUGUCAAUGAAUUCCUCUUGCUUAUUAUCUUCUUGGCGCUAGGUGUGCUAAUCUUUGCCACCAUGAUUUACUAUGCUGAGCGUAUUGGAAUCCAGCCUAAUGACCCCACAGGCUGCAAUCACACACACUUCAAGAAUAUCCCCAUCAGCUUUUGGUGGGCAGUGGUCACUAUGACCACACUGGGCUAUGGAGACAUGUAUCCACAGACGUGGCUCGGCAUGAUGGUAGGGGCGCUUUGUGCACUGGCUGGGGUACUGACCAUUGCUAUGCCGGUUCCCGUCAUCGUCAAUAACUUUGGGAUGUACUACUCGCUGGCUAUGGCAAAACAGAAGCUGCCAAAAAAGAAGAAGAAGCACAACCCAAACCCUGAUGCUCCAACUGACUCAGCCUCGUUUGGGAAGUCAGAAACAAACUCGCACAGAGACAGUACUCAGAGUGACACGUGUCCACUGGCUCCUGAGGAGAACAUCAGUAGGAACCGCUCAGACUCCAAACAGAACGGGGAUGCAAAUGUGGCCCUUUCAGAUGAGGAAGGCUGUAGUUUGACCCAGCCGCUGUCCCCCAGCGAAAAGUGGACAUUGCGGUGUUCCCGAGGCCGAGACAAGAAUAAGAAAGAGGGCACCUGCUUCCUCCUAACCUCAGAGAACCCCAGCGUUCAAACUGAGAGCUGUAAAGACAUCCUUGCGGCCACGGGAAACUAUGCUCAGCCGGAGGUCACCACUCUGACCUGAUGCUGAUUGGCUAUGAAAAGGAGAAAGAGCGUGAUUUCCUCAGUGGCGUACACUUCCCUUCCUGAAUGAACUGCUGAAGAGAUUCUUUGAAUUCAGGAUGAGAACUUUUGUUUUAAGUUGCAUAGCACAUUUAUCACAUGUACACUUACUCACAUGUUAGAGAGCAUUUUGCAUGUACUGCAUGCUCAAGCAUUGUAUGAUACUCCAAAAAAUGGCUACCAUUCAUAUGCAUUUUAUUUAGUGGAUAUGUCAUAGCUUGACUCCAAGGCUCUGAAAAAAGCAUCACAGAUUUAUUCCAAAGUGACGUUAAGGUCACUUCUCUGCCUGAUUUGAAGUCGAGAAAGUGUGAUAUCACAUUCCUCUGUGCACCAGUUGAAUCUGAAUCUGGCGUUCGGUCACUAUAAUUCAAAUUGAAGCCACACACUCGAUAAUCUGGGUUUUCAAAAAAAGACACUCUUAGUCAACUUGGAUUAAAAAAAAUGUAAUUGUGAAUAUUAAAUUUUACAGACCUAAAACUUAAAGAAAGUUUCAGGGGCUUUUGUGAGUCUGUUGUAAAAAUCCUUUUUUAUGUGUUGUUACAUUCGUUACCAUGUUACUUUCUAUUAUCAUGUGUCUAUUUUGGGAGUCAACACACAUCAGCAAAACCCCUACAUUGUAUAAGGAGUGAGAAAAUCUGCUUGUGAAUAUAGGUUUGUACAGCAAAACGCCUACUGUGAAAAAGGACAAGAUGGAAACUUGAAGUCACUGAUCGAUGUCAACAAAUUAGACCCACGUUUUUUAUUUUAUUUUAUUAUGUGGUCUCUGUUCUGCUGCUUUUUUAGAACCAAGCACAUGGAAACAUGCAGAUACUUUGCCAGGGACUAGAUGUGAUACGAACCCUGCCAGGAAACACAUUGUUUGUAAAUCCUUGUACAAUAAGAGUUUAACAAAAGAAAAGAAAAUCAAUGGAGCAGUAUUGUCUGUCUGUUACAUUAGCUAUACACAAUUGAUGUAUCAUUACUGGUUGAGUGAGGACCAAAUGUAGACUCAAUUAGAUUAGAUGGUAAAAGACUUUCAGUACAUGUUGGUAAAGAUACAUACAGUACAAUAUAAUCAUCUCCACUUGUGCCUCAUGUUGAGUAAUGGAGUUUAAAUGUGUGCAGUAGUGUAAUUCAAUUGGUAAGUUAACACUUCUACUUGUAUUGUAAAAACUCUGUUACAUAUUUGGAAAAGAGAAGCAGGAGUCUUUUUCUUUUUUCAAGACUUAUAAUCUAGUCCUCAUGGUCUACCAUAGUGGCCUUAUGUUAAAUAAACAAAGGGAAAGCUCAUUUUACCUUCAUUAGAAUCUUUCUAUGCUGAUGCAGAUGUUUGUAAUAUAUAAGCACAGCUGUAUGUAUGUAGCACAGUGCAAUACUCUAGGUCAUUAAGCUCUUUUCUUGUCUGUUCAUGUGGAUGCAACGUUAAAAUUGCUGUUGACCAAUGAAAGCUUAUUUGAAUAAUUCACCUUUUAAGCCUCAUUUCCUGUUUUCUCUGUUCCGUGUAUUCAAAUAUGACGGUCAAGCACAGUAGGCUGGUUUAACAUUUCCCCAGUAUGCACUGUGUAGGUGACCGUGAUGGUUUUUAACCCGGUAAGAUGUCAUGUGUGUAUGUAUGCGUGCCUGUUUGAGUGUGUGGGUGUGAUGUUUAACCAUGUAGGCAUGCAUUUAUAUGCAGAAAAUCAAAUAAAAUCAAUUUCUUCACAGAUAUUGAAGAUAAACUGAGCGUUGUGCGUUGUUAUUUUCAUUCACAGCUUGCAUUGCAUCCACAUAUUCUUCCCACUGCACGUUGCAAAGUUUGUGUCAUCACAGCACCUCUACUGUAUAGCUAUUUAUAGAGCGAACACCAGACUAUACAGGUUGAUGCUGUGCUUGUUCAGAGUGGUGUAACGGCAGUCACAGCUGUGCUUCCUGCUCUCCUGAGCUUCCACGAUUAUGUACCAAAGGUGUAGAUGACUUACAGAACACGUCUCCAUGGAGAUUUGGUAUGACAGGCAACGCUAAUUACUGCUCGGCUGCCUCCGUCUCCAACUCUCUGUGUGCCACAUGCAAGAAGCGCCACUCUUUCUAUCACACACAUCCUCACAGACACACAUGCAUCCACCUCAGCCCAGCAUGAUCGUCAUUACUGUCGUUGCACACGGGAAACAUUCUGAUGCUUGGCAAUACAAUGCAAAGCACUAUGGCAACAAAGGGAGGGAGGAUGGCAAGUUGUCAUGGUUGGGGCUGAUGAUGCUGUUAUUGAGGAAAGUUGGUUUUCAGUUGGUGUCCAGGUCUCAAGCAUCGUGGUUCGGCAGGGAUUGAGUGUGCAUCGAGAUAACGGCUCCUGUCCCCACAGCUCUGAGGAUUUUCUGAGAGGCAUCAUCUAUGAGAUCUUUUGCUUAACAACAUUACAUUAACAUUUUUUUCAUGUUUCUGUCUUUAUUUAUUUCACCCUUCUCCCUCUCCAUAUGUCUGCCUUUAUCUCAUUAAAUUAUUUGGUGUGAUGCACAUUAAAUUUGGGUGUUUCUUAAACUUCUCCCCUUACUUCCCGCUUCCCUUCUAUCUGCGUCAGAUAACUGACCCCUCCAACUCUCCCACCAAUGCAUGAAGCCUUGUACUCAACUUGCUGCUCAUCCAACAGGAAAAAACAAGUGGAGUGGAAGCAGCUACCUCUUGUGACCUGCUCUACCUGUUUCUUUGUGUCCAAAUAGUCUCACAGCUAAUUAUGACUGUUAUCCUUCAUCACUUUAUAUACAUAUAUGUAUAUAUUUAGACAUCAGUUUUAAGUGUUGCUGUAAACCAAUUUACUUGGUAGACAUCAGUUAAAGCAUUAUAAUUCUCCAGACAUCAUACCGGUAACUGAAAC
RNA transcript from Haplochromis burtoni (Burton's mouthbrooder), 5440 nucleotides. It is a transcript of the gene named potassium voltage-gated channel, Shaw-related subfamily, member 4, with no coding region annotated. The record is from RefSeq and is a predicted model, not a curated record. The transcript is spliced from 5 exons. NCBI's taxonomy places the organism in Eukaryota, Metazoa, Chordata, Actinopteri, Cichliformes, Cichlidae.